UCCCUGGUGGUCCAGUGGCUAAGACUCCACGCUCCUAAUGCUCCUAAAGGAGGCCCAGGUUCGAUACCUGGUCAGGGAA
This 79-nucleotide transfer RNA is filed under the name Balaenoptera acutorostrata scammoni. RNAcentral describes it as "tRNA-Und (NNN) (tRNA-Und-NNN-12-1)". It matches the Rfam family "tRNA". Rfam says of the family: Transfer RNA (tRNA) molecules are approximately 80 nucleotides in length. Their secondary structure includes four short double-helical elements and three loops (D, anti-codon, and T loops). Further hydrogen bonds mediate the characteristic L-shaped molecular structure. tRNAs have two regions of fundamental functional importance: the anti-codon, which is responsible for specific mRNA codon recognition, and the 3' end, to which the tRNAs corresponding amino acid is attached (by aminoacyl-tRNA synthetases). tRNAs cope with the degeneracy of the genetic code in two manners: having more than one tRNA (with a specific anti-codon) for a particular amino acid; and 'wobble' base-pairing, i.e. permitting non-standard base-pairing at the 3rd anti-codon position. The record is from RNAcentral. Lineage: Eukaryota; Metazoa; Chordata; Mammalia; Artiodactyla; Balaenopteridae.